GCUUGUCUCAAAGAUUAAGCCAUGCAUGUCUAAGUAUAAACUGCUUAUACUGUGAAACUGCGAAUGGCUCAUUAAAUCAGUCAUAAUUUAUUUGAUGGUACCUACUACUCGGAUAACCGUAGUAAUUCUAGAGCUAAUACGUGCGCACAACCCGACUUCUGGAAGGGUCGUAUUUAUUAGAUAAAAGGCCAGCCGGGCUCUGCCCGACCUGCGGUGAAUCAUGAUAACUGAGCGAAUCGUAUGGCCUCGCGCCGACGAUGGUUCAUUCAAGUUUCUGCCCUAUCAGCUUUCGAUGGUAGGGUAUUGGCCUACCAUGGCAUUGACGGGUAACGGAGAAUUAGGGUUCGAUUCCGGAGAGGGAGCCUGAGAAACGGCUACCACAUCCAAGGAAGGCAGCAGG
RNAcentral lists this ribosomal RNA (400 nucleotides) under Gonium quadratum. RNAcentral's name for it is "partial small subunit ribosomal RNA". It matches the Rfam family "Eukaryotic small subunit ribosomal RNA", at positions 30 to 432 of the family's 1831-position model. The record is from RNAcentral. Lineage: Eukaryota; Viridiplantae; Chlorophyta; Chlorophyceae; Chlamydomonadales; Volvocaceae.